This is a long non-coding RNA of Labeo rohita (rohu), 1055 nucleotides long. RefSeq lists it as uncharacterized. Lineage: Eukaryota; Metazoa; Chordata; Actinopteri; Cypriniformes; Cyprinidae. The record is from RefSeq and is a predicted model, not a curated record. The transcript is spliced from 2 exons.
GACAGCAGUGCCAAACGUCCCGGACGCGAGCCUAUCCAAAUCGAUUCACUUUGAUUGCUCUCAAGUCAGGAAGGCGCACUGGCAUUUUAAGACUACUAGAUGCUCCUUAUAAUAAACACCCUGGGCAUCUGCAUAAUGGCGUAAUGCGCGUCUUAAAUUAUGGCAACGUUGACACUGCUCGAAUCUAAAAAGCCAGUUUGCUCGUGUGCGUACGUGGAGCGAGCCGAGGCGAUGUCAAACUCCUAGUCCUAGCGCGUACACGCUUAAUUUUGUAAAUUAUUGCAGAAUUACAUCUGAAACUGUGAAAGGACUCGGGGGAAACAUUGCGUCCACCCUCUCCUUCUAUGCGCAAGAAGUAGGAUGUCUUUUGUAAUAAAAAUAUAAUCAUUUAUCAGGACAAUAAGGGUCAUUUUUUGCCUUUCAUUUCGUAAGGUGCUCAUGCCUCCGAUAUUGGCAGACUCUGCAUGUAUGUUAAUAUUUGAAUUAAUGGGCGAAAAUGGAAGUCCGAUGUUGGUUAUCUGGGGACCCUGUGCGCUGGAGGGAGGGAUGGAUGGAUGGACGGAGAGAGGAGAAGAGAGAUGUGUUUUACACAGCAAUCUAUUCUGCUAGUGUUGGGGGUUAAUGACUAUUGCCAAAGAUAAGUGAAUUAUCAAAGCUGUUGCUCUUGCCUCGACUCAAAAUCCAUCACAUUGCAUCGUCGUCUAAUUAAAUACAAGUUUUAAAAGAUUGUAGGUAUUGAAAUACUCAACUAUUUCCACUGAUUUAAAAAUCUAAAGGAACGAACAACGACGUGAUUGUGGUGAACACAUCGCCUUGCCGAAGAGCCGCCCUAGUUUCCUGAGCUGCUCUGCGAGGAAGAGGGUGUGUUGGAAACAGCAUAUGGAGGGCAUGUUUGUUAGUGCGCCGCUGAUAAAUGGAUUAAUUGGUUAGAUUAGGCUGCCAAAGCUUUGAUCACAGAGACCGUGCAAAGAAAUGUGUUUAUUGUUUAUGAUGAUUUUGUUCAUUGAGCUGUAGCAUGGGCUAAAUAUGCAAUAAAUAAAAAUGAUGCACUCGUG